UGCGUAGGUGGCGUGGUAAGUCAGAUGUGAAAGCCCGGGGCUCAACCUCGGAAUUGCAUCCGAUACUGCCGUGCUAGAGUACUGAAGAGGUGACUAGAAUUCUCGGUGUAGCAGUGAAAUGCGUAGAUAUCGAGAGGAAUACCAACGGCGAAGGCAGGUCACUGGGCAGUUACUGACACUGAGGCACGAAGGCCAGGGGAGCAAAC
This 206-nucleotide ribosomal RNA is filed under the name uncultured bacterium. Its description in RNAcentral is "partial 16S ribosomal RNA". It matches the Rfam family "Bacterial small subunit ribosomal RNA", at positions 568 to 773 of the family's 1533-position model. The record is from RNAcentral.